UUUUUGUAGAGUCAUAUGUCAUUGUGUGACUACGGAGCCAAUAAUAAGCUGACAUUUGGGAAAGGAACGACUCUGAGCGUUAUACCAGAUGUCACAGACCCAGAGCCUGCUGUGUACCAGCUGAAAGAUCCCCAGUCUGAUAACAUCACCCUCUGCCUGUUCACCGACUUUGAUUCUCAAACCAAUGUGUCCCAGAGCGCAAGUUCCGAAGCGUUUGUCUCUGGCAAUACUGUGAUGGACAUGAAGGCUAUGGAUUCCAAGAGCAACGGGGCCAUUGCCUGGAGUAACCAAACAAGCUUCAGCUGCAAAGACGCCUUCAAGAAGAACGCCUCCCACCCCACUUCAGAUGUGCCCUGUGAUGCCAAGUUGGUCGAGAAAAGCUUUGAAACAGAUAUGAACCUAAACUUUCAAAACCUGUCAGUCAUGGGACUCCGAAUCCUCCUGCUGAAAGUGGCCGGAUUUAACCUGCUCAUGACGCUAAGGCUGUGGUCCAGUUGAGAUUGAAAGAGCGUGACUCCAAAGCUCCUUCCUCCUCCUCAUCCUCCGCUCCCUCUUCAAGCCAAAAGGAGCCCUCCCACCUCGUAAAGAAGGCUGUCUGAGGACUGACUGGAUCUCCCCGAUCUGUGAAGAAGGUUGCUGGAGAGCUAAGCUCAGCUGUACCCACUCAGCCCCCUUGCUGCUGCUGACCAUUCACAGAGACGCAGGGGCUGGGCUUCUCCUGGAUCUGAAGACCUCCUCUCCCAUGAUAGAUUUCCCAGCAGAAUCUCUUAGAGAAUGUUGUAAAGAAUAUGUUUUUUGUGUGGUUUUUUUUUUUGUAUUUUUAAAGCAUCCAUAAAGAAGUACAUAUUACUCUUUCAUCAAGGUGUAGAAAUUAUCUCAUUGUCUAGACGCUCCCCGCUACUGUGUGUAUUGAGCCACAUUGUAUAUUAUUCUGCUGCCGAUGACGUCAUUAAAGGUGAUUCAGACAAAGCUGAAA
This is a non-coding RNA of Rattus norvegicus (Norway rat), 976 nucleotides long. The record is from the annotation of a RefSeq genome assembly. Lineage: Eukaryota; Metazoa; Chordata; Mammalia; Rodentia; Muridae.